UACGUAGGGGGCAAGCGUUGUCCGGAAUCAUUGGGCGUAAAGAGCGUGUAGGCGGUCCGGUAAGUCGGUUGUGAAAGUCCAGGGCUCAACCCUGGGAUGCCGAUCGAUACUGUCGGACUAGAGUUCGGAAGAGGCGAGUGGAAUUCCCGGUGUAGCGAUGAAAUGCGCAGAUAUCGGGAGGAACACCAAUGGCGAAGGCAGCUCGCUGGGACGUUACUGACGCUGAGACGCGAAAGCGUGGGGAGCAAACAGG
RNAcentral lists this ribosomal RNA (253 nucleotides) under uncultured bacterium. RNAcentral's name for it is "partial 16S ribosomal RNA". It matches the Rfam family "Bacterial small subunit ribosomal RNA", at positions 524 to 776 of the family's 1533-position model. The record is from RNAcentral.